RNAcentral lists this ribosomal RNA (261 nucleotides) under Cyprinus carpio (common carp). RNAcentral describes it as "partial small subunit ribosomal RNA". Lineage: Eukaryota; Metazoa; Chordata; Actinopteri; Cypriniformes; Cyprinidae. The record is from RNAcentral.
ACCCCCGUUCAACCUCACCACUUCUAGCCACCCCAGCCUAUAUACCGCCGUCGUCAGCUUACCCUGUGAAGGUAAUAAAAGUAAGCAAAAUGGGCACAACCCAAAACGUCAGGUCGAGGUGUAGCGCAUGAAGUGGGAAGAAAUGGGCUACAUUUUCUAAUAUAGAAUAUUACGAACAUGCACCAUGAAACAAUGCUUGAAGGAGGAUUUAGUAGUAAAAGGGAAAUAGAGUGUCCCUUUGAACCCGGCUCUGAGACGCGU